This 527-nucleotide long non-coding RNA is filed under the name Gopherus agassizii (Agassiz's desert tortoise). RNAcentral's name for it is "lncRNA (ENSGAGG00000017893.1)". Lineage: Eukaryota; Metazoa; Chordata; Testudines; Testudinidae. The record is from RNAcentral.
CCACGAAGCAGAUUUUUGUUUUGGUUACAGCCCUUCUCUUUCACUGUACAGAAAAGUUCAAGGUGUACUGGUAACAGGAAUUUCCUUUGCUCCACCCUUUCCCUGAACAUUAGGCUUGAAUUUUAUCGAGGACCUGCAAAAUCACCUUCAAAGAGCUGCCAUUGACUGCAUAUCGAUUAGCACAGCUAUUCGGCCAGGGUUCCAGCAUGAAGCACUUUACCAUCGUGCCUUGUACUACCAUCACCCUCAUCUUCCUCUCCAUCAUUCUUCGGAGUUCUUACUUAGCAGAGGCCAAAAUGAGCUCCAGAGUCUCCUUGACAGACCAUGGGGACAAUGGGAGCCAAUGGCCAUGCCCUGAUGUGCAAUUCUGCUCAGAUGUCGCCAAGUGCUGCCAGCUUGGGGUAGACGAGUAUGGCUGGAUUGCAGCUGCUGUUGGCUGGAGCCUCUGGUUUCUGACUCUCAUCCUGCUCUGUGUGGCUAAGAUCAUGAAACUCAGUCCCGACGAACCCAAGUAUUUGCAAGCAUGA